ACAAUAACAUUGCAACUUUGCGAGGGAACUUUCAGUAUAGCUUAGAGCGCCCAACAUUUGUUUCGCGGGCUGUUUCUUCGAGAGCAAUUAAUAUUUGUUUUUGCCUCUGGUGUCAUGAAAGCGCCAUGUCUAGCUUUGACUGCAUAGUUCUGUGCUGCUCUUCGCCUAAGUGGGCUUCUGCAAUUGAAACAGAGCUGCGGAUUCUCCAAGCUCGGAAUAUAAUUUCUAAAUCCGCCAAGAUCCUUACCAUCGAGGACCCUGAAAAGAACAUCGGCAGCAGAGCCGCUACCUUGAGUGGACUUCUGGUAGCGACAAGAUACUUGUGUGCUGAAAAUGGAUAGACAGUUGUAACCUCUGACGUACUCCAAAAAAGCCGGAUCUUGAUACUGUAUCAUGAUGGUGGAGACUAUCUUCUAGAACCUUGUGGAAGAGCUUUCAUGAGUGUGCCGGGCAUUUACGCUGCUUCCGUUGCCAGAUCGAUGGUCAAUCUACCAACUUGGAGAAUCUGUUCAACAUCACCUCCCAAAUGCAAAAAAAUGGUCCUCCAGGCGUAUGGCUCUGCAGCACAGACAUGGUUUUGACCU
Long non-coding RNA from Rhipicephalus microplus (southern cattle tick), 584 nucleotides. NCBI's taxonomy places the organism in Eukaryota, Metazoa, Arthropoda, Arachnida, Ixodida, Ixodidae. The record is from RefSeq and is a predicted model, not a curated record.